Molecule: ribosomal RNA, 2928 nt
Filed under: Bacillus cereus
Lineage: Bacteria; Bacillati; Bacillota; Bacilli; Caryophanales; Bacillaceae
Description: bacterial LSU rRNA
Rfam family: Bacterial large subunit ribosomal RNA
Source: RNAcentral
UUUGGUUAAGUUAGAAAGGGCGCACGGUGGAUGCCUUGACACUAGGAGUCGAUGAAGGACGGGACUAACGCCGAUAUGCUUCGGGGAGCUGUAAGUAAGCUUUGAUCCGAAGAUUUCCGAAUGGGGAAACCCACCAUACGUAAUGGUAUGGUAUCCUUAUCUGAAUACAUAGGGUAAGGAAGACAGACCCAGGGAACUGAAACAUCUAAGUACCUGGAGGAAGAGAAAGCAAAUGCGAUUUCCUGAGUAGCGGCGAGCGAAACGGAACAUAGCCCAAACCAAGAGGCUUGCCUCUUGGGGUUGUAGGACAUUCUAUACGGAGUUACAAAGGAACGAGGUAGACGAAGCGACCUGGAAAGGUCCGUCGUAGAGGGUAACAACCCCGUAGUCGAAACUUCGUUCUCUCUUGAAUGUAUCCUGAGUACGGCGGAACACGUGAAAUUCCGUCGGAAUCUGGGAGGACCAUCUCCCAAGGCUAAAUACUCCCUAGUGAUCGAUAGUGAACCAGUACCGUGAGGGAAAGGUGAAAAGCACCCCGGAAGGGGAGUGAAAGAGAUCCUGAAACCGUGUGCCUACAAAUAGUCAGAGCCCGUUAACGGGUGAUGGCGUGCCUUUUGUAGAAUGAACCGGCGAGUUACGAUCCCGUGCGAGGUUAAGCUGAAGAGGCGGAGCCGCAGCGAAAGCGAGUCUGAAUAGGGCGUUUAGUACGUGGUCGUAGACCCGAAACCAGGUGAUCUACCCAUGUCCAGGGUGAAGUUCAGGUAACACUGAAUGGAGGCCCGAACCCACGCACGUUGAAAAGUGCGGGGAUGAGGUGUGGGUAGCGGAGAAAUUCCAAUCGAACCUGGAGAUAGCUGGUUCUCCCCGAAAUAGCUUUAGGGCUAGCCUUAAGUGUAAGAGUCUUGGAGGUAGAGCACUGAUUGGACUAGGGGUCCUCAUCGGAUUACCGAAUUCAGUCAAACUCCGAAUGCCAAUGACUUAUCCUUAGGAGUCAGACUGCGAGUGAUAAGAUCCGUAGUCAAAAGGGAAACAGCCCAGACCGCCAGCUAAGGUCCCAAAGUGUGUAUUAAGUGGAAAAGGAUGUGGAGUUGCUUAGACAACUAGGAUGUUGGCUUAGAAGCAGCCACCAUUUAAAGAGUGCGUAAUAGCUCACUAGUCGAGUGACUCUGCGCCGAAAAUGUACCGGGGCUAAAUACACCACCGAAGCUGCGGAUUGAUACCAAUGGUAUCAGUGGUAGGGGAGCGUUCUAAGGACAGUGAAGUCAGACCGGAAGGACUGGUGGAGUGCUUAGAAGUGAGAAUGCCGGUAUGAGUAGCGAAAGACGGGUGAGAAUCCCGUCCACCGAAUGCCUAAGGUUUCCUGAGGAAGGCUCGUCCGCUCAGGGUUAGUCAGGACCUAAGCCGAGGCCGACAGGCGUAGGCGAUGGACAACAGGUUGAUAUUCCUGUACCACCUCUUUAUCGUUUGAGCAAUGGAGGGACGCAGAAGGAUAGAAGAAGCGUGCGAUUGGUUGUGCACGCACCAAGCAGUUAGGCUGAUAAGUAGGAAAAUCCGCUUAUCGUGAAGGCUGAGCUGUGAUGGGGAAGCUCCUUAUGGAGCGAAGUCUUUGAUUCCCCGCUGCCAAGAAAAGCUUCUAGCGAGAUAAAAGGUGCCUGUACCGCAAACCGACACAGGUAGGCGAGGAGAGAAUCCUAAGGUGUGCGAGAGAACUCUGGUUAAGGAACUCGGCAAAAUGACCCCGUAACUUCGGGAGAAGGGGUGCUUUCUUAACGGAAAGCCGCAGUGAAUAGGCCCAAGCGACUGUUUAGCAAAAACACAGCUCUCUGCGAAGCCGUAAGGCGAAGUAUAGGGGGUGACACCUGCCCGGUGCUGGAAGGUUAAGGAGAGGGGUUAGCGUAAGCGAAGCUCUGAACUGAAGCCCCAGUAAACGGCGGCCGUAACUAUAACGGUCCUAAGGUAGCGAAAUUCCUUGUCGGGUAAGUUCCGACCCGCACGAAAGGUGUAACGAUUUGGGCACUGUCUCAACCAGAGACUCGGUGAAAUUAUAGUACCUGUGAAGAUGCAGGUUACCCGCGACAGGACGGAAAGACCCCGUGGAGCUUUACUGUAGCCUGAUAUUGAAUUUUGGUACAGUUUGUACAGGAUAGGCGGGAGCCAUUGAAACCGGAGCGCUAGCUUCGGUGGAGGCGCUGGUGGGAUACCGCCCUGACUGUAUUGAAAUUCUAACCUACGGGUCUUAUCGACCCGGGAGACAGUGUCAGGUGGGCAGUUUGACUGGGGCGGUCGCCUCCUAAAGUGUAACGGAGGCGCCCAAAGGUUCCCUCAGAAUGGUUGGAAAUCAUUCGUAGAGUGCAAAGGCAUAAGGGAGCUUGACUGCGAGACCUACAAGUCGAGCAGGGACGAAAGUCGGGCUUAGUGAUCCGGUGGUUCCGCAUGGAAGGGCCAUCGCUCAACGGAUAAAAGCUACCCCGGGGAUAACAGGCUUAUCCCCCAAGAGUCCACAUCGACGGGGAGGUUUGGCACCUCGAUGUCGGCUCAUCGCAUCCUGGGGCUGUAGUCGGUCCCAAGGGUUGGGCUGUUCGCCCAUUAAAGCGGUACGCGAGCUGGGUUCAGAACGUCGUGAGACAGUUCGGUCCCUAUCCGUCGUGGGCGUAGGAAAUUUGAGAGGAGCUGUCCUUAGUACGAGAGGACCGGGAUGGACGCACCGCUGGUGUACCAGUUGUUCUGCCAAGGGCAUAGCUGGGUAGCUAUGUGCGGAAGGGAUAAGUGCUGAAAGCAUCUAAGCAUGAAGCCCCCCUCAAGAUGAGAUUUCCCAUAGCGUAAGCUAGUAAGAUCCCUGAAAGAUGAUCAGGUUGAUAGGUUCGAGGUGGAAGCAUGGUGACAUGUGGAGCUGACGAAUACUAAUAGAUCGAGGACUUAACCAUAUAA